AAAAAAAAAUCCAAUAAAAUGUGCGCAUAUAAAAAUAUAGAAGGAAUUAGAUUACUAGACAACAACAAACACUUUUUCAUAAAAUGAUGAAUUUAUCAAAAUAAAGUAUUUAAAUCUAAGUUAAAAUUCCAACCCAAUGAAAGUUUAAUCAAACAAAUUUUUAAAUUUGAGAACUUAGCCAUAUUUAAUAUAAUUUGGGGUUUGUCCUAAUUUCAAUAAAAACUAAUUUUUUUUUUCCACUUAACAUGUACCAUCUAAAUUUGAGUGUAAUAAGCAGUUUGGUAAUUGAAUGGUAUAUGCUAAGUUUUUCAUGAAUUUUAUAAAUAAAACAUUUACUUAUUAAAAAGAAUGGAUGGUACUUCAAUUAAGGAUAUGUAAUAGUAUAAUCAUAUAUUUUAAUUUAUAAUAUAAAAUCUCUAAUUUUUAUUUUAAUUAGCAAAAAUCCUCUUAAUGAUUUUUAGUAGUUGGAUUAUAGGUUUUUCAUGCUAACGUGGCAUUUUUCAAUUGAAAAAUUAUGUUUUUAUGGAUUGAUAUUUUGAUAGGUA
RNAcentral lists this unclassified non-coding RNA (545 nucleotides) under Hevea brasiliensis (rubber tree). Lineage: Eukaryota; Viridiplantae; Streptophyta; Magnoliopsida; Malpighiales; Euphorbiaceae. The record is from RNAcentral.